Molecule: transfer RNA, 69 nt
Filed under: Saccopharynx lavenbergi
Lineage: Eukaryota; Metazoa; Chordata; Actinopteri; Anguilliformes; Saccopharyngidae
Description: tRNA-Val
Rfam family: tRNA
About the family: Transfer RNA (tRNA) molecules are approximately 80 nucleotides in length. Their secondary structure includes four short double-helical elements and three loops (D, anti-codon, and T loops).
Source: RNAcentral
UAGGGUAUAAUUAAAGAAUAAUGACUCUCUUACACUGAGUAAUUGUCCGUUCAAAUCGAACUACUCUAA